Molecule: ribosomal RNA, 671 nt
Filed under: Pseudoalteromonas sp. BACT-D
Lineage: Bacteria; Pseudomonadati; Pseudomonadota; Gammaproteobacteria; Alteromonadales; Pseudoalteromonadaceae
Description: bacterial SSU rRNA
Rfam family: Bacterial small subunit ribosomal RNA
Source: RNAcentral
UUGCUACUUUGCUGACGAGCGGCGGACGGGUGAGUAAUGCUUGGGAACAUGCCUUGAGGUGGGGGACAACAGUUGGAAACGACUGCUAAUACCGCAUAAUGUCUACGGACCAAAGGGGGCUUCGGCUCUCGCCUUUAGAUUGGCCCAAGUGGGAUUAGCUAGUUGGUGAGGUAAUGGCUCACCAAGGCGACGAUCCCUAGCUGGUUUGAGAGGAUGAUCAGCCACACUGGGACUGAGACACGGCCCAGACUCCUACGGGAGGCAGCAGUGGGGAAUAUUGCACAAUGGGCGCAAGCCUGAUGCAGCCAUGCCGCGUGUGUGAAGAAGGCCUUCGGGUUGUAAAGCACUUUCAGUCAGGAGGAAAGGUUAGUAGUUAAUACCUGCUAGCUGUGACGUUACUGACAGAAGAAGCACCGGCUAACUCCGUGCCAGCAGCCGCGGUAAUACGGAGGGUGCGAGCGUUAAUCGGAAUUACUGGGCGUAAAGCGUACGCAGGCGGUUUGUUAAGCGAGAUGUGAAAGCCCCGGGCUCAACCUGGGAACUGCAUUUCGAACUGGCAAACUAGAGUGUGAUAGAGGGUGGUAGAAUUUCAGGUGUAGCGGUGAAAUGCGUAGAGAUCUGAAGGAAUACCGAUGGCGAAGGCAGCCACCUGGGUCAACACUGACGCUCAU